UUGACCUCGGAUCAGGUAGGAAUACCCGCUGAACUUAAGCAUAUCAAUAAGCGGAGGAAAAGAAACCAACAGGGAUUGCCCUAGUAACGGCGAGUGAAGCGGCAACAGCUCAAAUUUGAAAUCUGGCCUCGGCCCGAGUUGUAAUUUGCAGAGGAUGCUUCUGGCGCGGUGCCUUCCGAGUUCCCUGGAACGGGACGCCACAGAGGGUGAGAGCCCCGUAUGGUCGGACACCAAGCCUGUGUGAAGCUCCUUCGACGAGUCGAGUAGUUUGGGAAUGCUGCUCUAAAUGGGAGGUAAAUCUCUUCUAAAGCUAAAUACCGGCCAGAGACCGAUAGCGCACAAGUAGAGUGAUCGAAAGAUGAAAAGCACCUUGAAAAGGGGGUUAAAUAGUACGUGAAAUUGUUGAAAGGGAAGCACUUGUGACCAGACUUGGGCCGGGCGGCUCAUCAGGGGUUCUCCCCUGUGCACUCCGCCCGGCACAGGCCAGCAUCGGUUUUCGCGGGGGGACAAGACCGCCGGGAACGUAGCACCCUCCGGGGUGUGUUAUAGCCCGGCGGACGAUACCCCCGCGGGGACCGAGGUCCGCGCUCCG
This 592-nucleotide ribosomal RNA is filed under the name Stenocarpella maydis. Its description in RNAcentral is "eukaryotic LSU rRNA". It matches the Rfam family "Eukaryotic large subunit ribosomal RNA", at positions 1 to 604 of the family's 3401-position model. Lineage: Eukaryota; Fungi; Ascomycota; Sordariomycetes; Diaporthales; Diaporthaceae. The record is from RNAcentral.